UUAGUAAUUGUGAAUGCAUAGGGACAGGCUCAAUGUGAAAAUCAGUGCAUAUGGCCCUGACUUGUUAUAUUGCGAUAUGCUACCAACAGAGGUGCAGGAAAUGCUGCCUUUGGAAACUUGCAUUGAUAAGGGUGAGAAUCCUGAAUGCAAACUGCAAACCUCAGUGCAUGGUGUGUCUUCUGAGAGUCACGUUCCUUGGGAUUGGUAUGCAAAGAAGGUGGUAGUUUUCGUCUAAAGCUAAAUAUAUGUUUGAGACCAAUAGUGAACAAGUACCGUGAGGGAAAUGUGAAACAAAAGCUCUGUGAAGAGAGAUAGAAGUUCCUGAACCUGUUGAAAGGGAAGUGAAGGAAGACAAUGUAACUUGGUGAGAUUGCUGCAUGCUGCUGUGCUUGCCUGCAUGUUUGUGCAAUGCGGCUGUGGGUCCUGAACAAUAUGUGUGUAGUGCUUUUUACCCUGUGAAUCAAUGUCAGUUAACUGUUUGCUUGCAACUAUUGGGUUUUUUGGUAGCCCAUCUCCAGGUGGGUGGAUAUCCCUUUGUGGGUGCUUACAGGUGCUGCUUGGUGACUACA
This 569-nucleotide ribosomal RNA is filed under the name Protoperidinium sp. RNAcentral's name for it is "partial large subunit ribosomal RNA". It matches the Rfam family "Eukaryotic large subunit ribosomal RNA", at positions 80 to 628 of the family's 3401-position model. The record is from RNAcentral. Lineage: Eukaryota; Dinophyceae; Peridiniales; Protoperidiniaceae.